UACGUAGGGUGCGAGCGUGAAUCGGAAUUACUGGGCGUAAAGCGUGCGCAGGCGGUUUUGUAAGCCAGAUGUGAAAUCCCCGGGCUUAACCUGGGAAUGGCAUUUGGGACUGCAAGGCUCGAGUGCGGCAGAGGAGACUGGAAUUCCUGGUGUAGCAGUGAAAUGCGUAGAUAUCAGGAGGAACACCGAUGGCGAAGGCAGGUCUCUGGGCUGACACUGACGCUCAUGCACGAAAGCGUGGGGAGCAAACAGG
This 253-nucleotide ribosomal RNA is filed under the name uncultured bacterium. RNAcentral's name for it is "partial 16S ribosomal RNA". It matches the Rfam family "Bacterial small subunit ribosomal RNA", at positions 524 to 776 of the family's 1533-position model. The record is from RNAcentral.